RNAcentral lists this ribosomal RNA (429 nucleotides) under Chloroflexota bacterium. RNAcentral describes it as "Chloroflexi bacterium partial 16S ribosomal RNA". It matches the Rfam family "Bacterial small subunit ribosomal RNA", at positions 355 to 776 of the family's 1533-position model. RNAcentral also lists the same sequence under 1 other name. The record is from RNAcentral. Lineage: Bacteria; Bacillati; Chloroflexota.
UGGGGAAUAUUGCACAAUGGGCGCAAGCCUGAUGCAGCCAUGCCGCGUGUAUGAAGAAGGCCUUCGGGUUGUAAAGUACUUUCAGCGGGGAGGAAGGGAGUAAAGUUAAUACCUUUGCUCAUUGACGUUACCCGCAGAAGAAGCACCGGCUAACUCCGUGCCAGCAGCCGCGGUAAUACGGAGGGUGCAAGCGUUAAUCGGAAUUACUGGGCGUAAAGCGCACGCAGGCGGUUUGUUAAGUCAGAUGUGAAAUCCCCGGGCUCAACCUGGGAACUGCAUCUGAUACUGACAAGCUUGAGUCUCGUAGAGGGGGGUAGAAUUCCAGGUGUAGCGGUGAAAUGCGUAGAGAUCUGGAGGAAUACCGGUGGCGAAGGCGGCCCCCUGGACGAAGACUGACGCUCAGGUGCGAAAGCGUGGGGAGCAAACAGG